AUUGAACGCUGGCGGCAGGCCUAACACAUGCAAGUCGAACGGUAACAGGAAGCAGCUUGCUGCUUUGCUGACGAGUGGCGGACGGGUGAGUAAUGUCUGGGAAACUGCCCGAUGGAGGGGGAUAACUACUGGAAACGGUAGCUAAUACCGCAUAACGUCGCAAGACCAAAGAGGGGGACCUUAGGGCCUCUUGCCAUCGGAUGUGCCCAGAUGGGAUUAGCUAGUAGGUGGGGUAACGGCUCACCUAGGCGACGAUCCCUAGCUGGUCUGAGAGGAUGACCAGCCACACUGGAACUGAGACACGGUCCAGACUCCUACGGGAGGCAGCAGUGGGGAAUAUUGCACAAUGGGCGCAAGCCUGAUGCAGCCAUGUCGCGUGUAUGAAGAAGGCCUUCGGGUUGUAAAGUACUUUCAGCGGGGAGGAAGGGAGUAAAGUUAAUACCUUUGCUCAUUGACGUUACCCGCAGAAGAAGCACCGGCUAACUCCGUG
Molecule: ribosomal RNA, 490 nt
Filed under: uncultured bacterium
Lineage: Bacteria
Description: partial 16S ribosomal RNA
Rfam family: Bacterial small subunit ribosomal RNA
Source: RNAcentral